This 253-nucleotide ribosomal RNA is filed under the name uncultured bacterium. RNAcentral describes it as "partial 16S ribosomal RNA". It matches the Rfam family "Bacterial small subunit ribosomal RNA", at positions 524 to 776 of the family's 1533-position model. The record is from RNAcentral.
UACGAAGGGGGCUAGCGGUGUUCGGAAUCACUGGGCGUAAAGCGCACGUAGGCGGCGCGUUAAGUCAGGGGUGAAAUCCUGGAGCUCAACUCCAGAACUGACUUUGAUACUGGCGUGCUCGAGUGUGGGAGAGGUUGGUGGAACUCCGAGUGUAGAGGUGAAAUUCGUAGAUAUUCGGAAGAACACCAGUGGCGAAGGCGGCCAACUGGCCCAUUACUGACGCUGGGGUGCGAAAGCGUGGGGAGCAAACAGG